GAUAGCAUAUCAAUAAGCGGAGGAAAAGAAACCAACAGGGAUUGCCUUAGUAACGGCGAGUGAAGCGGCAAUAGCUCAAAUUUGAAAGCUGGCCCUUUCAGGGUCCGCGUUGUAAUUUGUAGAGGAUGAUUCGGCGAGGGCUCCCGCCUAAGUCCCCUGGAACGGGGCGUCAUAGAGGGUGAGAAUCCCGUAUGCGGUGGGCUGCCUUAGCCAUGUGAAUCUCCUUCGACGAGUCGAGUUGUUUGGGAAUGCAGCUCUAAAUGGGAGGUAAAUUUCUUCUAAAGCUAAAUACCGGCCAGAGACCGAUAGCGCACAAGUAGAGUGAUCGAAAGAUGAAAAGCACUUUGGAAAGAGAGUUAAAAAGUACGUGAAAUUGUUGAAAGGGAAGCGCUUGCAACCAGACUUGUCCGCAGUUGCUCAGCCGGUCUCCUGACCGGCGUACUCUUCUGCGGCCAGGCCAGCAUCAGUUCGGGCGGUCGGAUAAAGACCUCGGGAAUGUAGCUCCUCUCGGGGAGUGUUAUAGCCCGGGGUGGAAUGCGGCCAGCCUGGACUGAGGAUCUCGCUUCGGCAAGGAUGCUGGCGUAAUGGUUGUAAGCGGCCCGUCUUGAAACACGGACCAAGGAGUCUAACAUCUAUGCGAGUGUUUGGGUGUCAAACCCAUACGCGUAAUGAAAGUGAACGGAGGUGGGAACCCGCAAGGGCGCACCAUCGGCCGAUCCUGAUGUCUUCGGAUGGAUUUGAGCAAGAGCAUAGCUGUUGGGACCCGAAAGAUGGUGAACUAUGCCUGAAUAGGGUGAAGCCAGAGGAAACUCUGGUGGAGGCUCGCAGCGGUUCUGACGUGCAAAUCGAUCGUCAAAUUUGGGUAUAGGGGCGAAAGACUAAUC
This 884-nucleotide ribosomal RNA is filed under the name Sphaeropsis eucalypticola. Its description in RNAcentral is "partial large subunit ribosomal RNA". It matches the Rfam family "Eukaryotic large subunit ribosomal RNA", at positions 33 to 936 of the family's 3401-position model. Lineage: Eukaryota; Fungi; Ascomycota; Dothideomycetes; Botryosphaeriales; Botryosphaeriaceae. The record is from RNAcentral.